Molecule: long non-coding RNA, 1345 nt
Organism: Gracilinanus agilis (Agile Gracile Mouse Opossum)
Lineage: Eukaryota; Metazoa; Chordata; Mammalia; Didelphimorphia; Didelphidae
Exons: 2
Source: RefSeq, a predicted model, not a curated record
UCUGUGAGACUUUUUUGUUAUGCACUACUUACCUUUGGUAUCUAGACAGUUUCCAACAGUUGGCUGGUGAUUUUUUUUUCUUUUUAAGGAAAAAGGCAUGCUUUCUGGCUGACACGAUCCUUUGCAAUACCUCAAUUUUGAAAUAUAGGAAAGAAAAUGAUAUUUUCUAAAAACCUACCUAGUUGUGUGGAAGGAGCAAAACUUUUUGAAGACGCACCCCUCUUUCUCAUACUAAAAUCACCCCGCCAGAGAGAAAGCUGGAAGACGUACAGCAUAGAGUUGAGUUCAACAUUGUUGUGGAGAAUAGGUUGAAAAUAAACUCCAUUUGGUGCUGAGAGCUGUGAAUAGACGGUGAAAAAUAUUUUCCCUUAAUUUGUAUAUUUCUAAUCAAGCGUUGAUUAUGCACGACUGACCAGAAUUGUGAAAGAGUUCUUCUGUUUGUAUUUUUUUAAAAAGAACUUUUUUAGUUUAUUAAAUUAUAACAUGUUCCCUUUUGUUUGUAAAUAAGUGUGCCCCCCCGAGUUGUUAAUGUUAUAUUAAAAGAGAGGGUCCUUCAAAAAAAUUAUUUUUUAAAAAAAUCCACAAAAAGGUGUUCUGAACUGUAACUUGCCUGAGAAGCGCCUGGGGUCCUACAGGCCUGCCUUGGCCAUUCCUUGGUGUGAGACUUGAACUUGUUUUUUUGAAGGCUAUAACCUAACCUCGACUAUUUGUUGUUAUGUGCAAUACUGUUUGUACUGUUUGUAUAAAAAAUAGAAAAAAAAGUAAAGAAAAAAGGCAUAAAUCUUUAUUGCAGAUUUAUUUUCAUUGCAAACUUUAGACAUUGUGAUUCACUGAAAUCAUUUUUCUACUGUCAAAUAUGUACCUUUUCUUCAUGCUGGUAUUUUUUCAAUAGUAAUGUAGCCUUUGUACUGAGACAAAAAUUUUCAUUGUUAUUUUUAGAAAGAUUUUUUGCUAAGAAAAAAAUUAAACAUAUUUACAUAUUUUUCAUUUUAUUUCGUAUUUUCUUUAAAGAGUGCUUUCUCAAUCAUUAAUAGAGUUGUUUCUGGGAGGGACUUUCAUAUCUGGUCAAUGUCAUAAUAUUAUUUUGUAUUUUUACUUGGAAUAAAUUAAUUUUAUGAUGCUAAUUCCUUAAAAGUUUAUUUUUUUCAUUUUCGGUUAUUUUUGAAGCUAAAACCUUUGUAAUAUUGUUACUAAAGUGUCUAGUUUUUUGAAAUGCAAAGCUUUCUGUAUUAACUUGCUGAAGUGGUUUACAGUAGGUGACAAUGAAUAAAUGGCUGGUUAUGUAAAGUGAUUGGAAAUGUAAUGAAUAAUCGGGCAAUAAAAAGACAGAAUGGAGCAGAAUGUG